GGCCCUACGGGGCGCAGCAGGCGCGAAAACUUUACAAUGCGGGCAACCGUGAUAAGGGAACCUCGAGUGCCUGUACAUGCAGGCUGUUUAGGUGUCUAAAACGCACCUGAAGAAAGGGCCGGGCAAGACCGGUGCCAGCCGCCGCGGUAACACCGGCGGCUCGAGUGGUGACCAUUUUUAUUGGGUUUAAAGGGUUUGUAGCCGGCUGGAUAAGUCUCUUGGGAAAUCUGGCGGCUCAACCGUCAGGCGUUCAGGGGAUACUGUCAGUCUCGGAACCGGGAGAGGUGAGGGGUACUUCAGGGGUAGGAGUGAAAUCCUGUAAUCCUUGAGGGACCACCAGUGGCGAAGGCGUCUCACCAGAACGGAUUUGACAGCAAGGGACGAAAGCUAGGGGCGCAAACCGGAUUAGAUACCCGGGUAGUCCCAGCCGUAAACGAUGCUCGUUAGGUGUAUGGCUGACCACGAGUCACGUAGGUGCCGUAGGGAAGCCGUGAAACGAGCCACCUGGGAAGUACGGCCGCAAGGCUGAAACUUAAAGGAAUUGGCGGGGGAGCACCACAACGGGUGGAGCCUGCAGUUUAAUUGGACUCAACGCCGGGAAGCUUACCG
RNAcentral lists this ribosomal RNA (609 nucleotides) under uncultured archaeon. Its description in RNAcentral is "bacterial SSU rRNA". It matches the Rfam family "Archaeal small subunit ribosomal RNA", at positions 319 to 932 of the family's 1478-position model. The record is from RNAcentral.